UACAUUAUUACUAUAGUAUGUAAAAUUAUACAUUUUAUCAAUAUUAUUUAUAAGUUUUUUUGUUGAUGUGGUUCUUUCUCUAGAUGUUGACAAAAACUACUCUUUUUAAAACCUGUCUAGUUUAUAUAUAAAUUUGAUGAAUAACUACACUAAACCUGUCAGAGUAGUCAGUUGAUUAUUUGGAAUCAAUCCAAAAGGUUUCAACAAGUAAUAUAUAAUAUAAUAAACUUAUUGUAUACAGAGGUCAGGUGUACUACAACUCAUCAAAAAAAUCAGCCAGAACUGCAAGAACAGUACAUAGGGUGUGCACAAGAAGUGAACAGUGAGUAAGAUAUUUAAAGAAAAUAGGCAGGGGAUAUCAGGUGUACUGCCGGUGAAUUUCAGGAAUCUUGGAAGUUUUGAAAGAUGUAGUGUCCCAACAGAUGACAACUGAUGCGGGUAGAUUAUUCCAUGCUUCAGGAAUUCUGAACAUGAAGAAAUGCUUCUGAAAGUCAUGGGUGCCUUGUUGUUUCUUGAUUUAGUAAGCAUGGUCCUUGAGUGUUGGUCGUAUUAUUGAAUUCAAGGUGCUCAAGGUUGUUGUUGGAAAGAUGAUGGAUAAUCUUGUGAGUGUCCGUGAAGUCAGUUGCCAGACUUUAGAGCUUUGAUGUAUCUAUGCUGCCCAGAUAAGCAAGAG
Octopus sinensis (East Asian common octopus) is the source of this 673-nucleotide long non-coding RNA. RefSeq lists it as uncharacterized. Lineage: Eukaryota; Metazoa; Mollusca; Cephalopoda; Octopoda; Octopodidae. The transcript has 3 exons. The record is from RefSeq and is a predicted model, not a curated record.